GAUGAACGCUGGCGGCGUGCUUAACACAUGCAAGUCGAACGGGAAUGCCACGCUGAUGCGAUUUCGGUCAAAUCAUGUGGCAUUCGAGUGGCGGACGGGUGAGUAACGCGUGGGUAACCUGCCUUACACAGGGGGAUAACACCUGGAAACAGGUGCUAAUACCGCAUAAGCGCACAGGGCCGCAUGGCCCGGUGUGAAAAACUCCGGGGGUGUAAGAUGGACCCGCGUCUGAUUAGCUUGUUGGCGGGGUAGGGGCCCACCAAGGCGACGAUCAGUAGCCGGCCUGAGAGGGUGGACGGCCACAUUGGGACUGAGACACGGCCCAA
RNAcentral lists this ribosomal RNA (326 nucleotides) under uncultured bacterium. RNAcentral's name for it is "bacterial SSU rRNA". It matches the Rfam family "Bacterial small subunit ribosomal RNA", at positions 28 to 334 of the family's 1533-position model. The record is from RNAcentral.